UACGAAGGGGGCUAGCGUUGCUCGGAAUCACUGGGCGUAAAGGGUGCGUAGGCGGGUCUUUAAGUCAGAGGUGAAAUCCUGGAGCUCAACUCCAGAACUGCCUUUGAUACUGAAGAUCUUGAGUUCGGGAGAGGUGAGUGGAACUGCGAGUGUAGAGGUGAAAUUCGUAGAUAUUCGCAAGAACACCAGUGGCGAAGGCGGCUCACUGGCCCGAUACUGACGCUGAGGCACGAAAGCGUGGGGAGCAAACAGG
RNAcentral lists this ribosomal RNA (253 nucleotides) under uncultured bacterium. RNAcentral describes it as "partial 16S ribosomal RNA". It matches the Rfam family "Bacterial small subunit ribosomal RNA", at positions 524 to 776 of the family's 1533-position model. The record is from RNAcentral.